AAUAUGCUUCAGGGGCCGGUUACGCGAAGCAUGGAUAAUGUUAUCCAUUGGAUGGCAAAAGUCUUCAAGCUUGUAAAAAAAGGUGUUUAUAUUUUUCUUACGACAAAGAAAUUUUGUAAUCUUCGAAACAAUAUUUUAUUUCAGUAAUUGUUCAGUUCGAAUCUUAUACUUUUCGCUUUUUAAAAGGUUUUAUUAAAGUUUUAAAAAAACUUGCUAUCCAAUGGACAGCGCUAUCCAGGCUUCGUGCAACCGACCCCUGUUAUGUAAUGAUCAAUAAUAUUCUCUCAUAUUUAGCAAUAUAUUUAUAACUAGCCAGUAAAGUUUCCAUGAAGCAACAAAGCUGGCUUUGCAAUGUUUGAUUUUUUGACCAAACAGACAAUGACAUCUUUGUAAUACAUAAUUUUCUUCUAACAGCCAUCUGACUCAUCAUUAACGCGAUUAAUUUUAAGUCCUGAAAGCCAAAUUCCAAAAUAGGCAAAAUAAACAUAUUAUAAGCUGAACUACUGAAAAAAUAAUGAAGCUUGUAAAGAAAAAUAGAAUUGUCGAUGGUUUUUAUCCCAUAGUAAAAAUGCUUGCAAAGUCUGACACAUUCUAUAUUUCGGAUACUUCUGGUAGUUUAGUACUUAAUUUUGUUUGCAAUUUAAACAACCUGUCGUCGUCAACAAAUAAAAAAAACGUGACAACAGUUUGUAAUGAAAUGUUCCAGAAAGGAUAUUUAACUUGAAACAUCGCAGAACACAAUUCGAGAAAUGUUAAGGCGAUGCAACAUUUAUUCAGUCAAGGUCAAGUGUGGUGAUUCAAAUUACUUAAAAAUUUUACAUUUCCUGCUAUGAAUCAUUUGCGUGUUUCUGUGUAAGGGGUUUACAUUAAUCCUUAAUCAAUUUGUAAUAUUUCCGGAAUAAUUUCAAGGACAUGACUGCUUUGUUCGAAGCCUAAUACUGACAGAUUAAGGUCAACUAUCAUCAGUAAACAUUUUUGAAAAGAAUCAAUAACAACCAGCCGUCUGAAUGAAGACAACCUCAAUAUCUUCUAUGAGAAAUUAUGAAGACAAAAUCACUACCAUUCAUCAGAAAUUAUGAAGAGUGAAGACGACAUCACUACCUUCCACCAGAAAUUAUGAAGACGACAUCACCGUCCAUCAGAGAUAAUGAAAACAAAAUUACUGACUUCCAUCAGAAAUUAUGAAGAAUGGCAUCACUACCUUCCAUCAGAAAUUAUGAAAACAAAAUCACCACCUUCCAUGAAAUAUUAUAAAAGAGCGUCGCUACCGUCCAACAGAAAGAAGAAAGAAAACACAGUUUUCAUAUAUUAAAAGGAGUGUUAGCUAACUUAUUUCACGAAUGUAAGCGAGGGAAGAUAUGAGAUAAGAGAAAUUUUAAACGAAUAUAAUGACGAAUGAUAAUAGUACUCAACGAUAACUUCUUUAAUGUCACUUUUUUAUGCUUAUAGCUACUAUUUAAAAUUGGAUUAAUAACCUUGUUGUUCAACAUCUUUGGCGACUUAUCAAUACCGAUUUAUAGAGUACAGGAAAUGUUAAUAUUAUUAAAGGUUUUGCAGUAGAAUAAUUUUAAUGCGAUUAGUAAGUUCACUGCCAGCUUCUUUUGUUAUCUUACAAUAUCCAGUGUGGAAGUCAACUUAUUUAUGAUGAAAUAUAUUAAAUAACAAGGAAAAAUUAAAGAAAAUGUUCAGAAAUUAGAAAGGUGACAUUAAAAUAUAGCGAUAUGCAGUGUACACUGCAAAAUAGGCUUAAAUGUUCUGUUUUUGUGACUUUUAUUGUCAGUUGAUAUUGUCUGUAUAUUUUUGAUGAAAAAUUGAAUGCGUUAGAAUAUUUCAAACAACCGAAGGCCUUUGGAGGCUUGAUGAUAAAUUAUAGCUAAUGAUCAUGAAUAUGGAAACAAAGAAAUGAGUUUAUCAUGAAAAUAAAAUAGAAACUGUUUCAUCAAACAUUUAAGUCAUCUUGGAAAAGUUUAUUAAUUGUUUUUCAAUAAAAAUUAUGUAUUAUUUUCGUGUAUACCAAAACUGUAUCUAGUACAAAGUAAAAAUUAUUUAGACUUUUUGACUUCUACACACGUCAAUAAGUAAUGUAAAGUCUGAUUCCUGGUAAACAAUUUUCAAAUUUUAUAACUUGUCAUCUGAUGGUAACAAAUGACACCGCUAUUUACACUAAAUAUAGUUUCCAUUUCUGUCACGCUCUGUAAUAAGUAAUGCCAAAAGAUAGCUAUCGUGUGAAUUAAGACAAUAUCUAAUAGCCAUUAUUGUAACAAAUAAAAAAAAACGAGAAAGAUAAAUUGCCUCUAUCGUAACAAAACUUUUGUCGUCAGCAAAUUACCCUGGAAAUAUUAAUUUUAGCUAAUUUCUUACGCAAAUUGUCUUCCCCAAUUGAAGGAUUACUGAAUUAUUUCUCUCUAAAGACUUUGUAGCUUCAAUGAUUGAAAACUUGUCCUUUCUAUACUUCUGCAGCUAAGUUGCAAGAUCAUUGGUUCCACUAUGCCAAGACGUAAUUAUGCUUUGUUGUUAUCAAGACUUUUUCUCUUAACAUGCAUGGCUAAAAUCUCUUGUUUAAAUAUCGCCUUUUAUUUAAUAAAACAUAACAUUAUUCACAUGCGCACAUUUAGAAUUCACUAUUUUUUGUUCUGUUUUGAAAUAUCAAAAAUUAAGAAUUAUGUUUUAUCAUAAAAGUCCUGCGUUAAAAAAUGUUAGGAAAGCGCGUUGAAAACUUAUAUUUCGAAUGCUUUCCCACGAAAUAAGCAAAGUUCCUCUUUGAUGUGAUGACACAAACUGGACAUAUAUAAAUAAUGAAGAGAUCCUGUUUAUUCAAGCCAGAAAAAGUUAUUAAUUUUAUCAUGCACACGUCACAAUAAAAAUAUUCUGAAAAUAUGUAAAAUUAUAGUUUAAAAAAAGAGUACAUUAAAAUAUUUGACGAAAUAAGUUUGGUUGGAUGCUAUCCAAUCCUUUCUGUUGAAGGUACUGUGGUAAACAUACAUUUGAAUGCUAUCCAUAAUUUACCCUAAAGUGGAAAGUAUUGCGUGCAGAAAUUUCAACAAUCAGAAAAAAUACGCCAAAUGCAGAGAUGAUUAAUGAAGACAAGACUGUUUAUUUUUAGAAACAUCAUAGAUAAAGAGAAAACUGUCUUUCCAACAGAAGAAAUUGUUAAUAAAGAGAUGACUGUCCAUUCAGUUAAGAAGAAGAAAUUGCUUAUGAAGAGAAAACUGUCUGUUCUCUACAGAUGACUUCAUUAAUGAAGAGAAUACUGCUUGUUUCCAAGCGAAGAUAUCAAUGAUUAUCAUUGAUGACGACUGACUUCCAAUGAUAAAUUAUUUUGAAGAUCUCAAUUUUGAACAUCAUAUUAUCCCAAGUGAAGAAAAUCAACUGAAUCAUGGACGCUGUAUUUUAUGUUUGUCAUCGAAAUCAAUACAAAAUUGUAAAAGUUAGACAAAGGUUUUAAGCACAUCUAAAGCAAAACAACUAGUUGGAAGCUGUAUAUUACUUCUUGGUGUUGCUUUCUCAUUGAAAAACGAGUUAAAAAUAACGUCUGUGAACUUUACACACUACUUUUUUUAAUAUCGUCUCAUUGUCAGAAUAUCAACAAGUAUCUACAUCAUUUGCUGUGUUGACUGCAAAUUUCUUAACCAUUUCACUUACCAUUUUGACAGAAAGUGCCACUCGUCUUGUUCGGACAUGAACACCUGUUUGGAAGUCUGCAUACUCCUCCAUUUUGGCAUUUUGGACGACAAAUUGCUGAGAAUUGUAAAAGUAAUUGAUGAAAACCAAAACAAGUUGUGCUCUGCUUUAUAUGAUUCAAAGAAUAUCAUAAAAUGUUUCUUUUUGUUGUUAUAAUUUCACGUAACAAUGUAAAAAACCUUACCAACAUUACAAGUUGGUCCUGUCCAUCCAGAUUUACAAUUACAUUUGUUGCUACCGUAACAUACUCCACCGUUUAAACAUGCUGUUUUACACGCAGCUGUAAAAAACGACACUAUAUUAAAGUAGAAAUCUCUACAUUUUUUAAUUUUCAAGCUGUUUUUAAGUUCAGACGUUUCUUUAAUGCUAUCAUUCGCAGGCUUAUGACAACAUCGGAUCUCGUAAAUGGACUGGCUUUCAAGCUGAGUUUAUGUAAUAGUUAUUUGGACAAAAUGAAAAUAUGAAUUUAAGAGAGUAAAUCUGCCAUUUAUGAUCACUUGGUCUGAGUAAAUGAUGCCUUUAAAAACAUCAGUAUUUUCGUCUAAUUUACAGUUUUAAAUAUGUAAUAAUCUGGUUCAUACGACUUUUUACGACUUCUGUGCGUUUGUUGUAAAAUUUAUGUUUCUUUAUGUUAAGAAAAUUUCCAGUAUAUAAAUAUUUGAUAAUAAUUUGUGAAUCGUUAUGUAAAGUCCGUAAAAGAAGAGAAAUUUCCUGGAAAAUGUAACCAUUACAUGAUUUCUUACAUGACGCUCAACAUUGAAGUUGAAAAUGGUGGCUAUUUGGAUGAAUUAAAUCAAUGCUAAUGUUUACUGAUGUAUUUAAAGUUUUAAUGAUGAAAAUAUGCAUUUAAAAGUGGACAAGACAACGCCUUUAUGUAAAAAAAAGAGCGUAUUCGUGUGAUGGUGAGAGGCCGAGACUAUUUCUUUGUGGUUGAAAAUAGAUUUUUGAUGCAGAAUUUAGACGGCUGCGACACUGUUCAGCACCUAUUUGUGUUAGUGACGAGACUGUGGAUAGUUAAAUUAUGCUUCCCAAUCCCUAGCUAACGUAGCAACACGUAUUUUUCCUUUGUUGGAGAUAAACUUUUCUCAAUUCAAAUGUGAUGAUGUAUUUCAAAACACGUAUUGAUUUAAUUAAUAAAAUCGUAUCUUAUGAGCAUCGAAAA
This is a long non-coding RNA of Xenia sp. Carnegie-2017, 4843 nucleotides long. RefSeq lists it as uncharacterized. The transcript is spliced from 4 exons. The record is from RefSeq and is a predicted model, not a curated record. Lineage: Eukaryota; Metazoa; Cnidaria; Anthozoa; Malacalcyonacea; Xeniidae.